This 485-nucleotide ribosomal RNA is filed under the name uncultured bacterium. Its description in RNAcentral is "partial 16S ribosomal RNA". It matches the Rfam family "Bacterial small subunit ribosomal RNA", at positions 27 to 507 of the family's 1533-position model. The record is from RNAcentral.
GAUUGAACGCUGGCGGCAGGCCUAACACAUGCACGUCGAGCGGAUGAAGGGAGCUUGCUCCUGGACUCAGCGGCGGACGGGUGAGUAAUGCCUAGGAAUCUGCCUGGUAGUGGGGGAUAACGUCCGGAAACGGGCGCUAAUACCGCAUACGUCCUGAGGGAGAAAGUGGGGGAUCUUCGGACCUCACGCUAUCAGAUGAGCCUAGGUCGGAUUAGCUAGUUGGUGGGGUAAAGGCCUACCAAGGCGACGAUCCGUAACUGGUCUGAGAGGAUGAUCAGUCACACUGGAACUGAGACACGGUCCAGACUCCUACGGGAGGCAGCAGUGGGGAAUAUUGGACGAUGGGCGAAAGCCUGAUCCAGCCAUGCCGCGUGUGUGAAGAAGGUCUUCGGAUUGUAAAGCACUUUAAGUUGGGAGGAAGGGCAGUAAGUUAAUACCUUGCUGUUUUGACGUUACCAACAGAAUAAGCACCGGCUAACUUCGUG